ACGGGGGGUGCAAGCGUUGUUCGGAAUUAUUGGGCGUAAAGAGCGUGUAGGCGGCUGAAUAAGUCAGAUGUGAAAUCCCUGGGCUUAACCCAGGAAGUGCAUUUGAAACUAUUCAGCUUGAGUAGGGGAGAGGAAAGUGGAAUUCCUGGUGUAGAGGUGAAAUGCGUAGAUAUGAGGAGGAACACCGAUGGCGAAGGCGGCAUUCUGGGCCAAUACUGACGCUGAUGCGCGAGAGCGUGGGGAGCAAACAG
This 251-nucleotide ribosomal RNA is filed under the name uncultured prokaryote. RNAcentral's name for it is "partial 16S rRNA". It matches the Rfam family "Bacterial small subunit ribosomal RNA", at positions 525 to 775 of the family's 1533-position model. The record is from RNAcentral.